UACGGAAGGCAGCAGUGGGGAAUAUUGCACAAUGGGCGCAAGCCUGAUGCAGCCAUGCCGCGUGUAUGAAAAAGGCCUUCGGGUUGUAAAGUACUUUCAGUCGUGAGGAAGGUGUUAAGGUUAAUAACCUUAGCAAUUGACGUUAGCGACAGAAGAAGCACCGGCUAACUCCGUGCCAGCAGCCGCGGUAAUACGGAGGGUGCGAGCGUUAAUCGGAAUUACUGGGCGUAAAGGGCACGCAGGCGGUUAAUUAAGUUGGAUGUGAAAUCCCCGGGCUUAACCUGGGAAUGGCAUUCAAGACUGGUUAGCUAGAGUCUUGUAGAGGGGGUAGAAUUCCAUGUGUAGCGGUGAAAUGCGUAGAGAUGCGGAGGAAUACCGGUGGCGAAGGCGGCCCCUGGACAAAGACUGACGCUCAUGUGCGAAAGCGUGGGGAGCAAACAGGGAUUAGAUACC
This 453-nucleotide ribosomal RNA is filed under the name uncultured bacterium. RNAcentral's name for it is "bacterial SSU rRNA". It matches the Rfam family "Bacterial small subunit ribosomal RNA", at positions 340 to 786 of the family's 1533-position model. The record is from RNAcentral.